This 77-nucleotide transfer RNA is filed under the name Labilibaculum manganireducens. RNAcentral describes it as "tRNA-Met". It matches the Rfam family "tRNA". From Rfam's summary of the family: Transfer RNA (tRNA) molecules are approximately 80 nucleotides in length. Their secondary structure includes four short double-helical elements and three loops (D, anti-codon, and T loops). The record is from RNAcentral. Lineage: Bacteria; Pseudomonadati; Bacteroidota; Bacteroidia; Marinilabiliales; Marinifilaceae. RNAcentral also lists the same sequence under 2 other names.
GGCGAGGUAGCUCAGCUGGUUAGAGCGCGUGAUUCAUAAUCACGAGGUCGGCGGUUCAAGCCCGCCUCUCGCUACAA